RNAcentral lists this ribosomal RNA (391 nucleotides) under Limaria hemphilli. Its description in RNAcentral is "partial 16S ribosomal RNA". It matches the Rfam family "Bacterial large subunit ribosomal RNA", at positions 1835 to 2554 of the family's 2925-position model. Lineage: Eukaryota; Metazoa; Mollusca; Bivalvia; Limoida; Limidae. The record is from RNAcentral.
UUUUCGUGAUUUUAAGUCCGGCUGCCCGGUGAGGGACACCCCUUUACGGCAGCGGUAAAGCUUUAAUCGUAGCUCAAUCCUUGCCCUUUAAUUGAGCUAUGUGAAUGGUAAGACGAGGGUUCAACUGUCUCGUCGCGAUAGAUUAAAACGGAGCGUGAGUGAAUAUACUCACAUGAAUUAGAGGGACGAUAAGACCCCGUGGAGCUUUGCCCUCCGUGGCUUAGGCUGGGGCAGCCAGAUGGGAAUGAAAAUACCAUACGAAAGCGGGCGGCUAUUAACGCUAAGUGAACGGCGGAAAAGUUACCCCGGGGGUAACAGGCUAAUUGCUCUGAGAGUACCUGUUGAUGAGCGGGUUUGGCACCUCGAUGUUGGUUCAGGGUAUCCCGAAGAU